RNAcentral lists this ribosomal RNA (517 nucleotides) under uncultured bacterium. RNAcentral describes it as "bacterial SSU rRNA". It matches the Rfam family "Bacterial small subunit ribosomal RNA", at positions 46 to 552 of the family's 1533-position model. The record is from RNAcentral.
GCUUAACACAUGCAAGUCGAACGGUAACAGGCGAAAAGCUUGCUUUUCGCGCUGACGAGUGGCGGACGGGUGAGUAAUGCGUAGGAACCUGCCCUAAAGAGGGGGACAACCCGGGGAAACUCGGGCUAAAACCGCAUAAUCUUUUCGAAGCAAAGCUGGCUACUUGUAGCUGGUGCUUUAGGAGGGGCCUACGUUGGAUUAGCUUGUUGGUAGGGUAAAGGCCUACCAAGGCUAUGAUCUAUAGCUGUUCUGAGAGGAAGAUCAGCCACACUGGGACUGAGACACGGCCCAGACUCCUACGGGAGGCAGCAGUGGGGAAUAUUGGACAAUGGGGGCAACCCUGAUCCAGCGAUGCCGCGUGUGUGAAGAAGGCCUGCGGGUUGUAAAGCACUUUUAAUAGGGAGGAAUAGUUCCAUGUUAAUAGCGUGGAGCAGUGACGUUACCUAUAGAAUAAGCACCGGCAAACUCUGUGCCAGCAGCCGCGGUAAUACAGAGGGUGCGAGCGUUAAUCGGAAUG